UACGGAGGAUGCAAGCGUUAUCCGGAAUGAUUGGGCGUAAAGCGUCCGCAGGUGGUUGUGUGUGUCUAUUGUCAAAGCAUCAUGCUUAACAUGAUAAAGGCAGUAGAAACUACACGACUAGAGUGCGUUCGGGGCAGAGGGAAUUCCUGGUGUAGCGGUGAAAUGCGUAGAGAUCAGGAAGAACACCGGUGGCGAAAGCGCUCUGCUAGGCCGCAACUGACAAUGAGGGACGAAAGAUAGGGGAGCGUAUGGG
RNAcentral lists this ribosomal RNA (253 nucleotides) under uncultured bacterium. RNAcentral describes it as "partial 16S ribosomal RNA". It matches the Rfam family "Bacterial small subunit ribosomal RNA", at positions 524 to 776 of the family's 1533-position model. The record is from RNAcentral.